RNAcentral lists this ribosomal RNA (253 nucleotides) under uncultured bacterium. RNAcentral describes it as "partial 16S ribosomal RNA". It matches the Rfam family "Bacterial small subunit ribosomal RNA", at positions 524 to 776 of the family's 1533-position model. The record is from RNAcentral.
UACGUAGGGUGCGAGCGUUGUCCGGAAUUAUUGGGCGUAAAGAGCUCGUAGGCGGUUUGUCGCGUCGGCCGUGAAAACUUGGGGCUUAACCCCAAGCCUGCGGUCGAUACGGGCAGACUUGAGUUCGGCAGGGGAGACUGGAAUUCCUGGUGUAGCGGUGAAAUGCGCGGAUAUCAGGAGGAACACCGGCGGCGAAGGCGGGUCUCUGGGCCGAUACUGACGCUGAGGAGCGAAAGCGUGGGGAGCGAACAGG